CCAUCUGCCUGUUCUAAUAACCUAUUUUGUAUAUAUUAUAGUUGGUUUUCUAUCUCGUCAUAAUUGGUUGCUUUGACAUAUCAAUCCUUCCUUCUUCAUGUUUCCAAUCCAAGUUUCAACAUAUCUUGUGUCCUCUCUAUGACUAUCACCUUCUAAUAACCAAGCUUGAGCAUGAACCUAGGGACACCCUCAAUAAGCCUAUUCGGACCAUGAUGAAUGGACCUACCACUGGGAUAUAUGUACUCAGGCUAUCAAAUAUGUUUCUCAGCUCUUCUUUGUCAG
This 282-nucleotide long non-coding RNA is filed under the name Elaeis guineensis (African oil palm). RNAcentral's name for it is "long non-coding RNA (EGUI_LNC009705)". The record is from RNAcentral. Lineage: Eukaryota; Viridiplantae; Streptophyta; Magnoliopsida; Arecales; Arecaceae.